GGAGUCUAGCAUGUGCGCGAGUCACUGGGACGACACGAAACCCAAAGGCGAAAUGAAAGUAAAAGAACGCUCCGCGUUCCUAGGGAAGAUGGGCCGCGCCUCGGCGCGGCCUCGCACUCCCGGGGCGUCUCGAUCUCAUCGCGAGAAGAGGCGCACCCAGAGCGUACACGCUGGGACCCGAAAGAUGGUGAACUAUGCCUGGUCAGGAUGAAGUCAGGGGAAACCCUGAUGGAGGUCCGUAGCGAUUCUGACGUGCAAAUCGAUCGCAGGAACUGGGUAUAGGGGCGAAAGACCAAUCGAACCAUCUAGUAGCUGGUUCCAUCCGAAGUUUCCCUCAGGAUAGCUGGCGCUCGCUUUGCGAGUCUCAUCCGGUAAAGCGAAUGAUUAGAGGCAUUGGGGUCGAAACGGCCUCAACCUAUUCUCAAACUUUAAAUGGGUGAGAUCUCCGGCUUGCUUAGUGCGUGAAGCCGGAGAUCGGAUCAGAGUGCCAAGUGGGCCAUUUUUGGUAAGCAGAACUGGCGCUGUGGGAUGAACCAAACGCAGAGUUAAAGCGCCUAAAUCGACGCUUAUGGGAUACCAUGAAAGGCGUUGGUAACUUAAGACAUCAGGACGGUGGCCAUGGAAGUC
This 627-nucleotide ribosomal RNA is filed under the name Trixagus dermestoides. RNAcentral's name for it is "eukaryotic LSU rRNA". It matches the Rfam family "Eukaryotic large subunit ribosomal RNA", at positions 670 to 1262 of the family's 3401-position model. The record is from RNAcentral. Lineage: Eukaryota; Metazoa; Arthropoda; Insecta; Coleoptera; Throscidae.